CAGCCGCCGCGGGAAUACGUAGGUCCCGAGCGUUGUCCGGAUUUAUUGGGCGUAAAGCGAGCGCAGGCGGUUAGAUAAGUCUGAAGUUAAAGGCUGUGGCUUAACCAUAGUACGCUUUGGAAACUGUUUAACUUGAGUGCAAGAGGGGAGAGCGGAAUUCCAUGUGUAGCGGUGAAAUGCGUAGAUAUAUGGAGGAACACCGGUGGCGAAAGCGGCUCUCUGGCUUGUAACUGACGCUGAGGCUCGAAAGCGUGGGGAGCAAACAGGAUUAGAUACCCGCGUAGUCCCUGUCUCUUAUACA
Molecule: ribosomal RNA, 301 nt
Filed under: uncultured bacterium
Lineage: Bacteria
Description: partial 16S ribosomal RNA
Rfam family: Bacterial small subunit ribosomal RNA
Source: RNAcentral